UCUGCCUACGGGGCGCAGCAGUGAGGAAUAUUGGUCAAUGGGCGGAAGCCUGAACCAGCCAAGUCGCGUGAGGGAAUAAGGCCCUACGGGUCGUAAACCUCUUUUGCCGGGGAGCAAGGGCGGGGACGUGUCCCGGCCCGGAGAGUACCCGGAGAAAAAGCAUCGGCUAACUCCGUGCCAGCAGCCGCGGUAAUACGUAGGGUGCGAGCGUUAAUCGGAAUUACUGGGCGUAAAGGGUGUGCAGGCGGUUUUGCAAGAUGGAUGUGAAAGCCCCGGGC
RNAcentral lists this ribosomal RNA (278 nucleotides) under uncultured bacterium. RNAcentral's name for it is "partial 16S ribosomal RNA". It matches the Rfam family "Bacterial small subunit ribosomal RNA", at positions 334 to 608 of the family's 1533-position model. The record is from RNAcentral.